GAUGAACGCUAGCGGCAGGCCUAACACAUGCAAGUCGAGGGGCAUCGCGGUGCAGCAAUGCACUGGCGGCGACCGGCGUACGGGUGCGUAACGCGUAUGCAACCUGCCCCGCACCGGGGGAUAGCCCGCCGAAAGGCGGAUUAAUACCCCAUGGUCCCGGGGGCCCGCAUGGGCAUCCGGGUAAAGCCUUGGCGGUGCGGGAUGGGCAUGCGUGCCAUUAGCUGGCUGGUGGGGUAACGGCCCACCAGGGCAACGAUGGCUAGGGGGUCUGAGAGGAUGGUCCCCCACACUGGUACUGAGACACGGACCAGACUCCUACGGGAGGCAGCAGUGAGGAAUAUUGGUCAAUGGGCGGAAGCCUGAACCAGCCAUGCCGCGUGCAGGAAGGAGGCCCUACGGGUUGUAAACUGCUUUUACCCGGGAAGAAACCCGCCCCCUGUGGGGGGCGUUGCCGGUACCGGGGGAAAAAGGAUCGGCUAACUCCGUG
RNAcentral lists this ribosomal RNA (487 nucleotides) under uncultured bacterium. Its description in RNAcentral is "bacterial SSU rRNA". It matches the Rfam family "Bacterial small subunit ribosomal RNA", at positions 28 to 507 of the family's 1533-position model. The record is from RNAcentral.